RNAcentral lists this long non-coding RNA (3115 nucleotides) under Acanthaster planci (crown-of-thorns starfish). Its description in RNAcentral is "uncharacterized LOC110982578". Lineage: Eukaryota; Metazoa; Echinodermata; Asteroidea; Valvatida; Acanthasteridae. The record is from RNAcentral.
UACGUAUUUGCUUGACCAGGUAGCCGUCGCACGGUAUUAGUCAACAGCGACAAGUGAUCUUCACUCUUGGCUUAAGUCCUCUCCAAACCAACGCCAAAUUUGGUGCACAUAAGGGCGGCUGUGAUGUCACGCAUCAUGCCUAAACCUAGGGAACACAACAGAUGUUGUGCAUCUCCGGAAGAGACUGGAAUGUCAGAUGAAGAAUCUUUUGAGCCAGUGUAAGAGAAAGACAAAGGAGAUGGUCUCAAUGCCAGCGGUUGUCGUCCUCCGUAAAUGGCUGUGCAGCUUUCGAGAAACGAAAGAUGCCAUUCAUGUUUUUUUGUUCGAGGCAAAAGGGCUUGGAAUUCCAGACAUGACUUUUGGAACACAUUUACUUCAAUAUAAUGGCAAUGAUUUCUUUGAAAAGUUUCUGCAAGCUCAAACAUCCCUCAACGCGGUUUUUAAGACCGUUUUCCACUUUCUCCCCAGCCAAGUGCUGUACAGCUUCAAAAACUUUUUAUGUGCACGAAAUGGUAGCUCAUAACAUUUUGAAAUUUUUGGAAAUUCAAUCUUUCCUUCUCCUCUUGCGUCCUUUCUUUCUCUCAACUUUAUCUUCCAUUUUCUGCCUUUCCCUCGUUUUCUUUGUAUUUAAUUGCCCUCCCGGGUCCACGAAGUCUAUCGCUAAUCGUAAGUGGGUUUCGAAUCACCCAUUGCUUUCUUGUCAGUUCUUCUUUUUUUUUUAAUUCUACUUGUUUGUCUGUUAUUCAGUCUACCAGUCUCAUUUUAUUUUAGAUAGGGAUGAAAUUAAUGGUGAUGGGUGAUGUGGUGAUGGUGACGAUAAUUCAUGUGACAGAUUGCCGAUGGAUAAAUAGUUUAAGGAAAACGGUGAAUUCUCUUGAAUGAAAUGCAGGAUGAUCAGGGAUGGUAAUGGAUAGUUUGAGUGUUAGUGUAUGGUUGAGAUAUGCGCACAUGAUUGGGAGUAAUAUGGAUGAUCAAGGUGAUAAUGGAUGAUUAGAAUGAUAAUGGAUGACUGGUGGGGGAUAAUGGAUAAUAGGGGUUAUAAUGGAUGAUCGGAAUGAAAAUGGAUUACAGGUAUUGGGUAAAAAUGAAUGAUCGGGAGUGAUAAUGGAUAGUUUGAGUGUUAGUGUAUGGUUGAGAUAUGCGCACAUGAUUGGGAGUAAUAUGGAUGAUCAAGGUGAUAAUGGAUGAUUAGAAUGAUAAUGGAUGACUGUUGGGGGAUACUGGAUAAUAGGGGUUAUAAUGGAUGAUCGGAAUGAAAAUGGAUUACAGGUAUUGGGUGAAAAUGAAUGAUCGGGAGUGAUAAUGGAUGGUCAUAUAUUGUGAUUUUGCGCUCCGGAAUGACAGUUGAUGAGCGUGGAUGAUUAUGAACGAUCAGGAGUGAUAACGGACGAGAAGGGAUUAUGUUUGAUAUUAUGAGGUAUUAAUGGAUGACCAGGCAGUAGUGGAUGAUCGAGCUGAUUAUGGAUUAUCAAGGUGAUAAUGGAUUACAUGUAUUGGAAUGAUAAUGGAUGAUCUGAGGCCACACAGGAUGAUUACAAAGAUUAGAGUGAUGAUGGAUUAUUGGGAGUGACAAGGGAUGGUCAGGCUAAUGGGUGAUCGGGCUGAUAAUGGAUGAUCAGGUGAUAAUGGAUGGUCAGGUGAUAAUGGAUGAUCAGGUGACAAUGGAUGGUCAGGUGAUAAUGGAUGGUCAGGUGGUGUGAAGAAUAAUCAGCUUCAGAAUGACAGCGAAUGAUUACUGGUGGUAAAGAACGAUAAAACGAAAGAAUGAUAGUCAAUGAUAAGCGAUGAUGGGCGACAAGGGAUGAUAACGGAGGAAUGAAAUAAUUAUUGAUUAUUCGGGUGAGAACAAGUUGCACGUAUCAGGGAGGAUUAUGGAUGAAGGAACCAUAAUGGAUGGCAGAUGCUAUGGAUGGUUGCCAUGGAUGAUUAAGAGAUAUAAUAGAGAAGAGAAAGAACUAAUAACAGAUGAUGAAGACACCGGAAGUGGUGAGAUCUGAUUAGGGGUGAGUAAAGGGUGUGUAUGAGUGGUGACAGGUAAUGAGUUGGAUGUUUAAUGAAGAGUGAUGGAUGCCUCGGAUAAGGAAUGACACGAGGUGAGAAUGGAACACCGGUAAAGGUCACUGUUUGCAGUGAUAGAAUAGUGAUGUUAAUGGUAACACUGUCCAUUUUUGUUCCUUGUUAAGCCUCUACUUUUCCACUCCGUUCUUAAUUUUUCCUCUUUGAACAUUCUCAUCACUCCUUCAUUUUCCUCAAUCCUUUAUCCGGACCUGGACCUGCUUCGGCUUGCUCAACAAGCUUGCUGUAGAAUUUUGAGCACCAAAGAAGUACGUGUACUUACUCUGUACUUGUGUGUACAUGUAAUUGAAUUCUGCCUUUAAAUAAAGUCAUAGUUGCAAUCACAAGCUUAAAAAUUAGCUGUGCCUUCAUCCGAAGACAUUGCUGUUCAAUCAGAACUCUCAUUAUUGUAUACCGCAUCCAGUCUACUCUACCCAAGAAUUUAUAUAUUCUAAUUGGCCAAAUAAAGUUCCAUUUUCUAACGUGGACCCAAGGAACAACCCACAGCAUUUCCCCUGUAUAAACCUAGAUUUUUCUCUGUAAACAUCACGGGAGAAAUGUGAAUCUCGAAGUAUCACUAAUGUUUAAAAAAAAAAAAAGAAGUAUUUUAUCGAAACAACAAAUUCUAAGGUUAGAAGAUCCCACCUUUUCACCUGUUUCAUAAUUACAAUCCUAAAUUCACUUGGAAUCAGUUGUGAAUCACAGUGGACCUCCAACCACAAAUUUUGGUUCAGGUGCAAACAAGUAUCUUUUUAAAAUCGGAUUGUACGCGUCAUCUAAAGGCAAGACUUGUCCAAGUGUGGUCAUAAUGAAUGAUUUUUCUGCACCUCAGUCAAAAAGUCAUUUUUUAACGAAAACAACUGUUCGUUUCCUUUAAAGCUUAUGUAAGCCUGAGAAACCUUCAACCCAAGCCCUUUCACUUCGAUUCCUCUUAAGAAUACCGACACUGGCUUUUAGCACAUAAGAUGUGAAUGGUUUGCAUUGGAUGAGAAAAGCAGUGAAAUAUAAAGAUGGAUAUAAAUUUUGUGACAGUUUUAAGAAUGUUCGCCGAUAGGUAGAG